Spea bombifrons (plains spadefoot toad) is the source of this 589-nucleotide long non-coding RNA. RefSeq lists it as uncharacterized. The transcript is spliced from 3 exons. The record is from RefSeq and is a predicted model, not a curated record. Lineage: Eukaryota; Metazoa; Chordata; Amphibia; Anura; Pelobatidae.
CAUUACGGGAACCGUACCAUCUCACCUGGGAAACCACUAAAGGUGGUUGUAGAAGCGGAAAGUGAUGGAGGGAAUUACCAUGUUUUACUGGUCAAUUCUUUCUUUGUCAAUAAUGAUGUUGAUAUUACUUUAAAUGGGUACCCGGACAUCGAUAAACUCAGUCAAAUUUCGGAACACCAGUAUGAACAAACAGGUGUCUCAAUUGGAGUGUACAAUGUUUUGUAGAGCAGUGAAUCAGAUCCCAAUAAUAAUCUGUAUUCCAUGAUCUCUACUUUGUCAAAGUAACAACUCGAAAUCAACAUAUCAGUCGCAGACAGGAGCCAGGUAGUCAACGACCUACCCAACCAUGUUAAAAGAUGAGCAUACAUUUGGAAAUCUGCGCUGCAUUAUGUAAUGAAUGUUUUUCUCUUGAUUACUCUUCUCUAUAAUCUGGAGUCUGUUUUGAGGCAAAAUAUUUAUUUAAAAAAAACAAAUGAAUGUACAUAUUUUAAUUUGUAAUAUUCUUAGCAAUAAUGCUUACUAUGUUUGGGGAAAAAUGUGUAUGUAACUUGCGUCAAAUGCAAAAUAAAAACAAAAUUAAUUAACUUUA